Molecule: ribosomal RNA, 274 nt
Filed under: uncultured bacterium
Lineage: Bacteria
Description: partial 16S ribosomal RNA
Rfam family: Bacterial small subunit ribosomal RNA
Source: RNAcentral
AUACGGAGGGUCCAAGCGUUAUCCGGAUUCAUUGGGUUUAAAGGGUCCGCAGGCGGGAAAAUAAGUCAGUGAUGAAAGCCGACAGCUCAACUGUAGAACUGCCAUUGAUACUGUUUUUCUUGAGUAUAGAUGAAGUGGGCGGAAUAUAUCGUGUAGCGGUGAAAUGCAUAGAUAUGAUAUAGAACACCGAUUGCGAAGGCAGCUCACUAAACUAUUACUGACGCUCAGGGACGAAAGCGUGGGGAGCGAACAGGAUUAGAAACCCUAGUAGUCC